This 896-nucleotide ribosomal RNA is filed under the name Corinectria fuckeliana. RNAcentral describes it as "LSU rRNA". It matches the Rfam family "Eukaryotic large subunit ribosomal RNA", at positions 38 to 966 of the family's 3401-position model. Lineage: Eukaryota; Fungi; Ascomycota; Sordariomycetes; Hypocreales; Nectriaceae. The record is from RNAcentral.
GCAUAUCAAUAAGCGGAGGAAAAGAAACCAACAGGGAUUGCCCUAGUAACGGCGAGUGAAGCGGCAACAGCUCAAAUUUGAAAUCUGGCCCCCGGGUCCGAGUUGUAAUUUGUAGAGGAUGCUUUUGGUGCGGUACCUUCCGAGUUCCCUGGAACGGGACGCCAUAGAGGGUGAGAGCCCCGUCUGGUUGGACGCCAAUCCUUUGUAAAGCUCCUUCGACGAGUCGAGUAGUUUGGGAAUGCUGCUCUAAAUGGGAGGUAUAUGUCUUCUAAAGCUAAAUAUUGGCCAGAGACCGAUAGCGCACAAGUAGAGUGAUCGAAAGAUGAAAAGCACUUUGAAAAGAGAGUUAAAAAGUACGUGAAAUUGUUGAAAGGGAAGCGCUCAUGACCAGACUUGGGCCCGGUUGAUCAUCCAGGGUUCUCCCUGGUGCACUCUUCCGGCCCAGGCCAGCAUCAGUUCGCUGUGGGGGAUAAAGGCUUCGGGAAUGUGGCUCCUCCGGGAGUGUUAUAGCCCGCUGCGUAAUACCCUGUGGCGGACUGAGGUUCGCGCAUCUGCAAGGAUGCUGGCGUAAUGGUCAUCAGCGACCCGUCUUGAAACACGGACCAAGGAGUCGUCUUCGUAUGCGAGUGUUCGGGUGUUAAACCCCUACGCGGAAUGAAAGUGAACGCAGGUGAGAGCUUCGGCGCAUCAUCGACCGAUCCUGAUGUUCUCGGAUGGAUUUGAGUAAGAGCAUACGGGGCCGGACCCGAAAGAAGGUGAACUAUGCCUGUAUAGGGUGAAGCCAGAGGAAACUCUGGUGGAGGCUCGCAGCGGUUCUGACGUGCAAAUCGAUCGUCAAAUAUGGGCAUGGGGGCGAAAGACUAAUCGAACCUUCUAGUAGCUGGUUUCCGCCGAAG